AAACCAACUGGGAUUACCUUAGUAACGGCGAGUGAAGCGGUAAAAGCUCAAAUUUGAAAUCUGGUACUUUCAGUGCCCGAGUUGUAAUUUGUAGAAUUUGUCUUUGAUUAGGUCCUUGUCUAUGUUCCUUGGAACAGGACGUCAUAGAGGGUGAGAAUCCCGUUUGGCGAGGAUACCUUUUCUCUGUAAGACUUUUUCGAAGAGUCGAGUUGUUUGGGAAUGCAGCUCAAAGUGGGUGGUAAAUUCCAUCUAAAGCUAAAUAUUGGCGAGAGACCGAUAGCGAACAAGUACAGUGAUGGAAAGAUGAAAAGAACUUUGAAAAGAGAGUGAAAAAGUACGUGAAAUUGUUGAAAGGGAAGGGCAUUUGAUCAGACAUGGUGUUUUUUAAAUGUGCAAGUCUCUCGUGGACAUGUGCCUCCGGAAAUUAACACUGGGCCAACAUCAGUUCUGGCGGCAGGAUAAAUCAUUAAGAAUGUAGCUACCUCGGUAGUGUUAUAGCUUUUUGGAAUACUGCCAGCUGGGUA
This 524-nucleotide ribosomal RNA is filed under the name uncultured Hanseniaspora. Its description in RNAcentral is "eukaryotic LSU rRNA". It matches the Rfam family "Eukaryotic large subunit ribosomal RNA", at positions 62 to 584 of the family's 3401-position model. The record is from RNAcentral. Lineage: Eukaryota; Fungi; Ascomycota; Saccharomycetes; Saccharomycodales; Saccharomycodaceae.